CUCUUCCUGCUCAGAGGACAAAGCGUGUGUGAGCUUCUGUUCCUCUAAUCAGCCCCAUUAAGCUUCUCUGCUUUUAUCCCAGAGAUUCAAAUCCUGGUAGUGUGUUCCCAUUCUUCCUUUCUCGGUAAGAAGCACAGGGAUGGACACAAAGGAAGCCAUUCCAUCAUUUUCCUUUCUCCAGCAUGUUUUCUGGCUGCCUGGAGCAAUUGUUCAGUGUGUGCUCCGUGUCAGUGUGAUCUGCACCGUCACCGUUGGAUCCCUGCCCGCAGGCUUCAGGAACGCAUCCAGUCUCUGUGUGACACCUGGGCCGGCUCUGGGAAUGCAGAACAGAUUUUGGUGAUGUAUUCAGCUUCUAAAAAUAACUCCAUCAGGCUGCAGCUUUAGAUUUCCAUGUUUUCCACAUUCAAGGAUUAUUCCACAAGGAAUAUUGGAAGACAUCUCUUUUGUACAUGUAUUUGUCCCCUAAGGCCACCAGGUUUUGCAUUUCCUCCAUAAUGGAGAAGCUGACAAUUUCUGAAGGAUCAAGCAAAGUGAUUCUGUCACAUCAUAAUUGUCAGUAUUUUUUUGUUUGUACUGAGAAUUACUGCUGGUUUUGCCCCUUUACUGGGCAAACCCCCUAUGACAGAGCCCUUUGCAAAGUGGAAAAAGGGACUCCAGAGCACUGA
This 665-nucleotide long non-coding RNA is filed under the name Parus major (Great Tit). RNAcentral describes it as "lncRNA (ENSPMJG00000004372.1)". The record is from RNAcentral. Lineage: Eukaryota; Metazoa; Chordata; Aves; Passeriformes; Paridae.